CUCCUGCUUAUGGGUGAGGAGCAAGAUAACAAACAGUCUGCUUCAUGGAGACAUUCCUAUGGACUCAAGAAAAAGGACAUACUUGUAAUUGUGUGUGUUUAUGGUAAAAAAAAUCCAUUGAUAAGAAAACAGAAUCAAAUGCGUCCUCAAUGCAAAGUUGGAUGCAUUUCAAGUUGCAAUUAAAGUAUUCCCCGAAAGACUGCAACCUCUUUCACAUCAAGCACUUUAGUGUCCUCUUCUGGAAGCAUCUGAUAUUCUUUUUGCACUGUUGCCUGUAACUCUGCCUCUUUAGAGUUACCUGUUUACACAGUCCAGUUACUAAAGAGAGACCUUACUGCAUAGUGAUGACUGUGAUCCAUACUAGAAGUGCCAUAAAGAUCCCUGGAUUGCAUAACAGUGGGACACCAUAGGUUACUUUUGUCGGCUCUAAUAAAAUUACCUGCACUUUGCCUUAACCCAGCCAAAAUGUGAUUGUCAGAAGAAAAGUUACAGAAGAAACAGCAGGCCCAUCCUGCCAGUGUUUUGUGUGGGACUGUUGUCUUUCUGUGAAGACUUAUACCCAAGAUGCAGUGCUCUGAGAAAUCCGAGCACACAAUUGGACAGCAUGUUGAUGACACAAGGUUUUAAUGUCAAGCCUCCAUGCUGAUCACACAGUCAUUUGUUUAGUUAGGAAACAAACUUACAAGACAAGUUGCCUUUGAAGGAGGAUUGUUCUAUCAAAUAUCAGAUUACAUCUGUGGCAGUUUUUGCACAGGUUUAUUGCAGUCAUUUAUGUCAGUAAAGUGUAAUGAAAUUAUAUGGCAACACAGUGCCCAAACAAUGUCAGUAUCUGUACAAAGUGCAGUAUAUUUAUUCACAGCAAUUUGUAGCUUCAUCAUAACUAUUUUCUAUAUUGUACACUGCGACCUGUCAGGUGACUGUGACACCUUAAUGCAUGAUAGCCUAUCUCUUGAGGUAACAUUCUGCCCAUUUUAAGAGGAUUCACGAACGCUUUGCAGUGCAAUGCGUUACUUAGCCUCUGACACCAAACAUGCUAUAGUGGAGCAAUUUUUAAAGAUUCUUCAUUAACGAGGCUAAGUUAUUAUCAUUAAAGAAGAAAAAAAAGCAGCUUUCAAAUAAUUUUUAUCUUUCCCCACUAUUGGUGUUUUUUUUAUGUACUGAACUAGUAUUUUACAAAAUAAAAACAUCUACAGGAUUUCUAUACAGGAAGACCAACUAAACAUUUAGCACUAACUAAUAUUUUAUAUUUAAGUUCAGUGUAAAAAUAUAGUAUAUGUGGGUGUGUUUUCACUGCAUAAGAAACUUUUUCUUUAGUGUAUAUUUUCAAUUUUGUGAUGUCUCGGGAGAUUGUUAUUGUUGCAUAUAUUUUAUCCUUUUGUUUGGUGAAUAUACAAAAAAUACUCUUAGUCUGAUAAAACGAAAUACUGUUUUGGGCUAUUAAUUAGUAGUUCGUGUUUAUAAAUUAUUGCAAAAAAUAUAUAUACUUCCUUGAAUUGUACUUAUUAUUGGUUUGAGUAAUUCUUCUGAAAUGUAUCUGCAAAAGUAUUGCAAUAAUAAUGAAAGUGCAGUGUUUGUUAGAUGCCGAAGGUUUGUGCAUGUCAACAGUGUCAAAUUUCUAAACACUGAGUAGAAGAUGGAAUGGUUAUAUUAUGAAAUACCUGUUAUUAUCCCCUUAAGGACACAUGACGAAAAUAUUCCGUCAUGAUUCCCUUUUAUUUCUGAAGUUGUGUCCUUAAGGGGUUAAAUCGCCUUUAUUCUCUGUUUUGUUUAUUGAAGAAACCAUGAAUAGGCU
Molecule: non-coding RNA, 1792 nt
Organism: Pelobates cultripes (western spadefoot toad)
Lineage: Eukaryota; Metazoa; Chordata; Amphibia; Anura; Pelobatidae
Source: the annotation of a GenBank genome assembly